RNAcentral lists this ribosomal RNA (433 nucleotides) under uncultured bacterium. Its description in RNAcentral is "partial 16S ribosomal RNA". It matches the Rfam family "Bacterial small subunit ribosomal RNA", at positions 29 to 507 of the family's 1533-position model. The record is from RNAcentral.
AACGAACGCUGGCGGCAUGCCUAACACAUGCAAGUCGAACGAGACCUUCGGGUCUAGUGGCGCACGGGUGCGUAACGCGUGGGAACCUGCCCUUAGGUUCGGAAUAACUCCCCGAAAGGGGUGCUAAUACCGGAUAAUGUCUUCGGACCAAAGAUUUAUCGCCUUUGGAUGGGCCCGCGUUGGAUUAGCUAGUUGGUAGUGUAAAAGCCUACCAAGGCGACGAUCCAUAGCUGGUCUGAGAGGAUGAUCAGCCACACUGGGACUGAGACACGGCCCAGACUCCUACGGGAGGCAGCAGUGGGGAAUAUUGGAAAAUGGGCGAAAGCCUGAUCCAGCAAUGCCGCGUGAGUGAUGAAGGCCUUAGGGUUGUAAAGCUCUUUUAACUGGGAUGAUAAUGACAGUACCGGGAGAAUAAGCUCCGGCUAACUACGUG